Molecule: transfer RNA, 64 nt
Filed under: Dicranocentrus wangi
Lineage: Eukaryota; Metazoa; Arthropoda; Collembola; Entomobryomorpha; Entomobryidae
Description: tRNA-Ile
Source: RNAcentral
GAGGAAGUGCCUGAAUAAAAGGGUUAUUUUGAUAGAAUAAAUCAUGUAAAACUUACCUUUCUUU